AACGAACGCUGGCGGCAGGCUUAACACAUGCAAGUCGAACGAGAAGCUUCUUCGGAAGUGGACAGUGGCAGACGGGUGAGUAACGCGUGGGAAUCUGCCCAGAGGUUCGGGACAACCAUUGGAAACGAUGGCUAAUACCGGAUAAGCCCGCAAGGGGAAAGAUUUAUCGCCUUUGGAUGAGCCCGCGUAAGAUUAGCUAGUUGGUGGGGUAAAAGCCUACCAAGGCUACGAUCUUUAGCUGGUCUGAGAGGAUGAUCAGCCACAUUGGGACUGAGACACGGCCCAGACUCCUACGGGAGGCAGCAGUGGGGAAUAUUGCGCAAUGGGGGAAACCCUGACGCAGCCAUGCCGCGUGAGUGACGAAGGCCUUAGGGUUGUAAAGCUCUUUCGCUAGGGAAGAUAAUGACGGUACCUAGUAAAGAAGCCCCGGCUAACUCCG
RNAcentral lists this ribosomal RNA (439 nucleotides) under uncultured Alphaproteobacteria bacterium. RNAcentral describes it as "bacterial SSU rRNA". It matches the Rfam family "Bacterial small subunit ribosomal RNA", at positions 29 to 505 of the family's 1533-position model. The record is from RNAcentral. Lineage: Bacteria; Pseudomonadati; Pseudomonadota; Alphaproteobacteria.